GAUGAACGCUGGCGGCGUGCCUAAUACAUGCAAGUCGAGCGAACGGACGCGAAGCUUGCUUCUCUGACGUUAGCGGCGGACGUGAGAGUAACAUGUGUAUAACCUACCUAUAAGACUGGGAUCGCUUCGGGAAACCGGCGCUUAUACCGGAUGAUAUCUUGAACCGCAUGGUUCAAUAGUGAAAGACGGUCUUGCUGUCACUUAUAGAUGGUUCCGGGCUGCAUUAGCUGGUUGGUAAGGUAACGGCGUACCAAGGCGACGAUGCAUAGCCGACCUGAGAGGGGGAUCGCCCGCACUGGAGGUGGAACACGCUCAAGAGUCCUACGGGAGGCAGCAGUAGGGAAUCGGCCGCAAUGGGCGAAAGCCUGACGGAGCAACGCCGCGUGAGUGAUGGAGGUCUUCGGAUCGUAAUACUCUGUUAUUAGGGAAGAACAUAUGUGUAAGUAACUGUGCACAGCUUGACGGUAACUAAUCAGAAAGCCACGGCUAACUACGUG
This 497-nucleotide ribosomal RNA is filed under the name uncultured bacterium. RNAcentral's name for it is "partial 16S ribosomal RNA". It matches the Rfam family "Bacterial small subunit ribosomal RNA", at positions 28 to 507 of the family's 1533-position model. The record is from RNAcentral.